GGACGGGUAGUGCAAGUGGUCAAAGCCGGCUGGCUGUAACCCAGCUCCGAAAGGUUCCGGGGUUCGAAUCCCUGACCGUCCACCA
This 85-nucleotide transfer RNA is filed under the name Pseudomonas sp. FeN3W. RNAcentral describes it as "tRNA-Tyr". It matches the Rfam family "tRNA". Rfam says of the family: Transfer RNA (tRNA) molecules are approximately 80 nucleotides in length. The record is from RNAcentral. Lineage: Bacteria; Pseudomonadati; Pseudomonadota; Gammaproteobacteria; Pseudomonadales; Pseudomonadaceae.